RNAcentral lists this long non-coding RNA (641 nucleotides) under Brassica napus (rape). RNAcentral's name for it is "long non-coding RNA (BNAP_LNC025775)". Lineage: Eukaryota; Viridiplantae; Streptophyta; Magnoliopsida; Brassicales; Brassicaceae. The record is from RNAcentral.
AGUAAGAUAUGCCGAGUUAUACUAGUUAUACCGAAUUAUAUCGGUAAUACGUAGUCAAUGUGUUAGGUAUACAUCGUUAUACUGAGUUAUUCAGAUCUAAGAUGAAAUGAAUAAAAAACAUGAAACAUAUAAAAAUCCUUCAAAUAAAGAACAUGAAGAACCCUAAAAUAUAUAAAAAAACCCAGAACAUGAAGAACCCUAUAAUAAAAAAACCCAGAAUUUCUAGAAUUGUAGAUCUAGGAUUGUAGAUCCAUAACCAUAGGUUUAAACGCUGCAUCUCAGGUAGGUUUGCCACCUUUUCUUCUCCGUUUUCGUCACCUUCUUCAUCGUCACAUGAAGUUUUGAGCCACCGUAGAUUUGUUUUUGCUUUUGGUUUUCAGAUCUAAUCUCCGGGUUAAUUGAAGAAGAGAGAAUAAGAAACAAGAAGAAACAAGAGGAAACAAGAAUCUUUAUUAAUUGAUUUGACGGAGAAGAAGACAGAAGAAAGAACACGCGAAAGAGAAGACGCGGAGAGGGAGAGAAGAAGAAGAAAUCGCAGAGAAAAAAAAUGAAAAGAGAACCGUAGUAGAGAUAAGAAGAGAGAAAGGGAAAAAAAAAGUAAAUAAGAAAUAAAACAUAUAUAUUUAGGUUUGAUUUUUAAA